CGGCUUGCAACCUCGUCUCGUGGUUAGAGCCGACCGCUCAUAACGGUCUGGUUGCAGGUUCGAGUCCUGCCGGGCCCACCA
This 81-nucleotide transfer RNA is filed under the name Rhodopseudomonas palustris. RNAcentral's name for it is "tRNA-Met". The stretch from base 14 to 78 matches the Rfam family "tRNA". From Rfam's summary of the family: Transfer RNA (tRNA) molecules are approximately 80 nucleotides in length. Their secondary structure includes four short double-helical elements and three loops (D, anti-codon, and T loops). Lineage: Bacteria; Pseudomonadati; Pseudomonadota; Alphaproteobacteria; Hyphomicrobiales; Nitrobacteraceae. The record is from RNAcentral.